AGCGAACGCUGGCGGCAGGCCUAACACAUGCCAGUCGAACGAACUCUUCGGAGUUAGUGGCGGACGGGUGAGUAACACGUGGGAACGUGCCUUUUGGUUCGGAAUAACUCAGGGAAACUUGUGCUAAUACCGAAUGUGCCCUUCGGGGGAAAGAUUUAUCGCCAUUAGAGCGGCCCGCGUCUGAUUAGCUAGUUGGUGAGGUAACGGCUCACCAAGGCGACGAUCAGUAGCUGGUCUGAGAGGAUGACCAGCCACACUGGGACUGAGACACGGCCCAGACUCCUACGGGAGGCAGCAGUGGGGAAUCUUGCGCAAUGGGCGAAAGCCUGACGCAACCAUGCCGCGUGAAUGAUGAAGGUCUUAGGAUUGUAAAAUUCUUUCACCGGGGACGAUAAUGACGGUACCCGGAGAAGAAGCCCCGGCUAACUUCGUG
This 433-nucleotide ribosomal RNA is filed under the name uncultured bacterium. RNAcentral describes it as "partial 16S ribosomal RNA". It matches the Rfam family "Bacterial small subunit ribosomal RNA", at positions 29 to 507 of the family's 1533-position model. The record is from RNAcentral.